RNAcentral lists this long non-coding RNA (991 nucleotides) under Sorghum bicolor (sorghum). RNAcentral describes it as "long non-coding RNA (SBIC_LNC017885)". The record is from RNAcentral. Lineage: Eukaryota; Viridiplantae; Streptophyta; Magnoliopsida; Poales; Poaceae.
AUCCACAUACUUUUAAGUUAUGGCAUCAUGGUUUUGAUUUGGGUAACCAAACACCUUGUAUAGUCAAACAUCUUAAAACACCUUGUAUGGAUUGUGAGUGCCCUUCGUGGGCCAUAAUCAAUCAACUAAAAAAACUGAUUUAUUAGACAUAAAUGAUUUGUUAAAUUUAAUAGAAAGACAUGCAAGAGCAACACUUUCUUCUUGAUUGGUAGCAAUUUACAUCUGAACACGCUCGUCCAACCUUUCUCUACUCAUUUCCAUUAGUUUUUAUUCACCCCAUGCAUGCAGCCAAUAAAGAACAAAUUGCCUGACAUGCAAAUUUGAAAGGACAUCACUAAAACUAUAAAUGGGUUGUACCAAGGCCAAUGACACUUGAAAUCAAACCAUCCAACAAAGGAAGAAACACUUCGUGAGACACUAAGUAUAGAAUCGGAUUGAAAAAAAGGUACAAGAUUAUUUUUUUAGUUCGAAGCUCAAGGUCCCCUUAAUACCCUAUGAAUUUCCACUGAAAAACAGAACCACACGGUUAGACAUACUCAUUAACAACAGUAAUUAAUGCUUUAUAAGAUAAAUGUUCAUUAAAAUAUUUUUAUCUAAAUAUAUCCAUGUGGGAUCUUGUUUUGAAGGAUUUAUUGCAAGAAAUCUGAUGGUGUAAUCGAAAUUUAAUUUGGAUGUUUGGUUUUGCGGUUAUGAUUUUUUUAGUUUGUAAACAUGGUCACUGCACACAAAUCUAGGUGACUUCUGUGUUGGUUAUGUGCAUGUGUCAACGAUGGGGCCCAUUCAAUAAAGGGGAUUGGAGUCAUGGCUUCACCACAUGUGGUAGACGGAUCCUCUUUGUAACUUUUAGUUGUAGAGAUUUUUUUAGUUUGUAAACAUGGUCACUGCACACAAAUCUAGGUGACUUCUGUGUUGGUUAUGUGCAUGUGUCAACGAUGGGGCCCAUUCAAUAAAGGGGAUUGGAGUCAUGGCUUCACCACAUGUGGUAGACGGA